CUUGAUCACAAGAAGAGUUCCAAUUCCACCAUAUCCCC
This 38-nucleotide small RNA is filed under the name Arabidopsis thaliana (thale cress). RNAcentral's name for it is "ATSL072700". Lineage: Eukaryota; Viridiplantae; Streptophyta; Magnoliopsida; Brassicales; Brassicaceae. The record is from RNAcentral.